AUGGGUGUGUUUACUGGUAACCAAGUGCCACGAAGUAAACUUAAGAUUUUCACUUUCGCAAAAUUUGCCAACGGUAAAUGUCUUGUAUCUAAUCAGGAGAGCCACUGUUGUAAGGUGUGGAAAUAAAAUGUUCCUGUGGACAGAUCAUGAGCUUCGGAUGCUGACUGUGCCUGGUGGAUUCGUGCCAAAAUCAUGUUCGCCAUGUUUAUUCUUGCCUUUAUCUGAUUAUGGAUAGCGCAGGCAGAGUUUGAGAUGUUCAAAAUGUCUGGUAUUCUAAUCCUGCCAAAAAUGUCUUCACACCUUUAUCCCUAAUAUAUCUACUGUGUCCCUUGG
This is a non-coding RNA of Poecilia reticulata (guppy), 333 nucleotides long. Lineage: Eukaryota; Metazoa; Chordata; Actinopteri; Cyprinodontiformes; Poeciliidae. The record is from RefSeq and is a predicted model, not a curated record.